CGAGUCGGCCGGGCGACCGCGUCGGCCGGGGCGACCCGGCCGCCGAGGAAAGUCCGGACUCCACAGGGCAGGGUGGUGGCUAACAGCCACCCGGCGUGAGCCGCGGGACAGUGCCACAGAAAGGAAACCGCCACGCCGAGCGAUCGGCGCGGUAAGGGUGAAACGGUGGUGCAAGAGACCACCAGCGUGCUGGGUGACCAGUGCGGCUAGGUAAACCCCACCCGGAGCAAGACCAGACAGGCAGCGUUCGAGGGCGGCCCGCCCGAGCUGCCGGGUAGGUCGCUUGAGGCGUGCGGCGACGCACGUCCUAGAGGGAUGGUCGCCACCGCUCCCCGGAGCGGUACAGGAUCCGGCUUACAGGCCGACUCGUCCC
This 373-nucleotide RNase P RNA is filed under the name Kineococcus aurantiacus. RNAcentral describes it as "Bacterial RNase P class A". It matches the Rfam family "Bacterial RNase P class A". From Rfam's summary of the family: Ribonuclease P (RNase P) is a ubiquitous endoribonuclease, found in archaea, bacteria and eukarya as well as chloroplasts and mitochondria. Lineage: Bacteria; Bacillati; Actinomycetota; Actinomycetes; Kineosporiales; Kineosporiaceae. The record is from Rfam by way of RNAcentral.